AUAAAUAUAGCUUAAUCAAAGCCAAGACUUGUGGAGUCUUUCAUACAAACCAUCAUUUGUUAUUUAUA
This 68-nucleotide transfer RNA is filed under the name Aphrocallistes vastus (cloud sponge). RNAcentral describes it as "tRNA-His". Lineage: Eukaryota; Metazoa; Porifera; Hexactinellida; Sceptrulophora; Aphrocallistidae. The record is from RNAcentral.